RNAcentral lists this ribosomal RNA (460 nucleotides) under uncultured bacterium. Its description in RNAcentral is "partial 16S ribosomal RNA". It matches the Rfam family "Bacterial small subunit ribosomal RNA", at positions 338 to 795 of the family's 1533-position model. The record is from RNAcentral.
CCUACGGGCGGCAGCAGUGAGGAAUAUUGGUCAAUGGGCGUAAGCCUGAACCAGCCAAGUCGCGUGAGGGAUGAAGGUUCUAUGGAUCGUAAACCUCUUUUAUAAGGGAAUAAAGUGCGGGACGUGUCCCGUUUUGUAUGUACCUUAUUAAUAAGGAUCGGCUAACUCCGUGCCAGCAGCCGCGGUAAUACGGAGGAUCCGAGCGUUAUCCGGAUUUAUUGGGUUUAAAGGGUUAGUAGGCGGCCUUUUAAGUCAGCGGGGAAAGUCUGUGGCUCAACCAUAGAAUUGACGUUGAAACUGGGAGGCUUGAGUAUGUUUGAGGCAGGCGGAAUGCGUGGUGUAGCGGUGAAAUGCUUAGAUAUCACGCAGAACCCCGAUUGCGAAGGCAGCCUGCCAAGCCAUGACUGACGCUGAUGCACGAAAGCGUGGGGAUCAAACAGGAUUAGAUACCCCUGUAGUC